RNAcentral lists this long non-coding RNA (919 nucleotides) under Homo sapiens (human). Its description in RNAcentral is "HSALNT0399689". Lineage: Eukaryota; Metazoa; Chordata; Mammalia; Primates; Hominidae. The record is from RNAcentral.
CAGAGACACUAAAACUAUGUUCCAUGGAGUAUCCAGGACAUGUAUGAGGGGUUUUGGGGGUGACAGCAGAAAGGAGCUGGGAUACAUGCAGACUCGGUCUCACUCUGUCACCCAGGCUGGAGUGCAGUGGCAUGAUCUAGGCUCAACUUCUUCCUUCUGGACUCAAGUGAUCCUCUCACCUCAGCCUCCCAAGUAGCUGGGACUACAGGUCACUUCCCACUGAGAGCUGGUUUACACCCAUUUCAAACACCAUCUCCAAACUGAUACCUUGACUACGAGAUCAAGUGUCCAGAAUGUAACAGAAGCUGCCUAAUAUUUGGUAGAAGAAGAAAGGGAAGAGGAGAAUUCAGAUGCUAAUGGAGAGUAUGUAUGCGCGCAUGCACACGUGCGUGUACUCACAUUCAGGUCCUCUGACAUCAGAGUAAAACCCUGUGCAUAAACCCAGAGGCGAGGCUGGCCUGGAGCCUUUAAACAGAAGUGAGGGUAUGGUCCUUUAUUCUGGAUCAACUCUUGGCAGAUGUAAUGAAUCACCUCUGGUGCUUUUCCCAUGUUGCUGAUAUGCAGAGUGCUGAGGGUGGGAAGUGGGGGCCAAGGAGUCCGAGCCCCUGACCCAUCCCACACUUUGGUGUAGACCUCGCUCCCAGCCUGAGGUAUGAGCAGAGCCGGCUUGGAGGAAAAUUCUGACACUGCCUUGGCAUGAUGGGCCUUUCCCUGAAGGGCUGUUUCAGCUGCAAGGCAAAACUGUUAUUCCGGGUUACUCUGGGAACAAAUUAUAAGAAUCAUUUCCCCAAAUGCCCUCUCUGAUAGAGUUCCCACACAGUCAGAGGAAAUGAAAUCUCCCUUAAUCAAUUCCACUGGUUUGGUGUCAAGCUCCUAAGCCCCUCUGAGGCUCCAAUACCGCCUGCCUCCUCGUUCUCUG